Molecule: non-coding RNA, 73 nt
Organism: Ictidomys tridecemlineatus (thirteen-lined ground squirrel)
Lineage: Eukaryota; Metazoa; Chordata; Mammalia; Rodentia; Sciuridae
Source: Rfam
GGGGAUGUAGCUCAGUUGAUAGAGUACUUGCCUCAAAUGCACAAAGCCCUGGGUUCAAUCCCCAACACACACA